This 619-nucleotide long non-coding RNA is filed under the name Mytilus galloprovincialis (Mediterranean mussel). The record is from RNAcentral. Lineage: Eukaryota; Metazoa; Mollusca; Bivalvia; Mytilida; Mytilidae.
UGGAUAUAAAAUUGAGAAAGGAAAUGGUGAAUAUGUCAAAGCGACAACCACCCGACCAUAGAGCAAACAACAGCCGAAGGCAACCAAUGGGUCUUCAAUGUAGCGAGAAUUCCCGCACCCGUAGGUGUCCUUCAGCUGGCCCCUAAAAUAUGCAUAAUAGUACAGUGAUAAUGGACGUCAUACUUAACUCCGAAUUAUACACAAGAAACUAAAAUUUAAAAUCAUACAAGACUAACAAAGGCCAGAGGCUCCUGACUUGGGACAGGCGCAAAAUUGCGGCGGGGUUAAACAUGUUUAUGAGAUCUCAACCCUCCCCCUAUACCUCUAGCCAAUGUAGAAAAGUAAAACAAUAACAAUACGCACAUUAAAAUUCAGUUCAAGAGAAGUCCGAGUCUGAUGUCAAAAGAUGUAACAAAAGAAAAUAAAUAAAAUGACAAUAAUACAUAAAUAACAACAGACUACUAGCAGUUAACUGACAUGCCAGCUCCAGACCUCAAUUAAACUGAUUGAAAGAUUAUGUCUUCAUCAUAUGAAUAUCAGGUACAAUCCCUCCCGUUAGGGGUUUAGUAUCAUACUAUCAUAAAAUAUAUGAGAAGAACAUAACCCGUGUCAUGCCAAC